GUUCAUGUGUUGUACUCUUUUUCCUGUCCUUGGUUUUCCAUUUUGUCAUAUUGGUUUUGGGGUUUUUCAGGAGAGGUUUUAAUGAGGCAACAUUAAGCAUGCAACGAACCUGUACCGGAUGUGUCGAUCAAGAGGGAGUGUUAUAAACCAAAUGAUGAUCGACCAUGGACCAGCCCGUAUUGCAGGUCCAAUCCGGGACAUGAUAAAGACAACCAAAGACUAUGUGUUUAUCUAGUAUAUAUUCCAUGUAUAUCUGUAACAUAGUGUUUAUCCUUAUCCUUGUUAGGAUAAACAUAACAUUAUAAUGGUCUAAUACCUUAUAUAUAUAUAUGGACCUUCUGAUUGACACUAAUAAUAACAGAAGUAUUUACCCAACAAUUCAUUUACAACCAAAAUAAUAAUAAGGGACCUAUUCAGGGUCGGUAGGAUAAUGGUGAUAGGUUCCUGCUAUCUCUCUCUUCGCCGUCCUUCCUUCUUUCAACAACACUUUCCCGAGCUGUGGUAAUAAGCUUACUAGAUGCUCUCAUUCUUCAUCUAUCUUUUUCGUCGAUUAGCGACCCGAACACGUAGUAGAUCAUCGGAAAUUUUUGUUUCUUUUGGUUCGCAACCUUCGCCAUGAUUGCAGGUAUUUUCUUAUUUUCAUUAUUCCCUUCUCAUUGAUACUUAGAUUAUUUGGAUUGGACCAUAUCUUUGCAAUGCUUUGGUGGCCUUGUUAGCUUCAUGCUUCCAUGUGUUCCAUACUUAGGCUAUUAAAAAAAAAGUUGAUGUAUAUAACUCAUCAUUAUCAGUGCGACAUAUAUGUUGGUGGGCUCGGUGGAUAAUUGUUUGUGGCGGAAUACAAGUGGCAGUGUAGGAUCGAUGUACAGUUUCCAAAUAGCGCAUGUGUGAACUUCACUUAGAUCGUGACUCUCUAUCUUAUCGUUUUCUUUUUGCUUCGUAAACCACUUUUGGUGAAUCUUGUUUGUCUUCAGUUAGUUUAUUUCUUCGUUGCCAUUCCUAAAUCUUCACAUCUGCGGCUCAUGAAUUCUUUCAUUUCCAAAAAUGUCUUGAUGCUGUAACUUGAAAAUUCAGCCUUAGUAAGUAUAGUACACCUAAAAACUUCAUACUCUUCUAGUUAUUUUAGGGGGAAAUAUAGUGAUAUGUUCCAUGUUCGAUCACAUUCAAAACGUGUUUAUUGAAGUUGUUGAAGUUUUAACAGUGAAUAUAGAGAAUUGAAGGGACCUAUGAAGUAAUUAGAGUUGUUUGGAAGAUGUUCUAUAUGGUAGUGAAUGUUGGAAGGAAGUUGAGUUUUGAAUUCAAGUUUUGAAGAUGUAUCAAGUCUUGGAGAAGUCAUCUUCAUUCAGUAUGUGGAUCCUGCUGAUGCUGCAGAGGCAAAACAUCACAUGGAAGGCUAUCUUCUUCUUGGUCGUGAUCUCAACUUGUAUAAUUUAAAUAUAUGCAGAAGCGACAGGUUCCAUGACAGAGAAGACGUUCACCUCCCCCUCGUCGUGGUGGUAGGACUCGAUCACGUAGCCGUGACUAUAAUUCUCCUCCCCCUUUAAAGACAUCAAUCUAGGUCUGUCUCGCUCACCAACGAAAAAUUGCUCAAGUGGAAGUCAUGGGAGGGUGACGAGCCGUAGCCCAAGAAGUGUAAGCGUGAGCCCAGGAAGAAACAGGAGCUACACGCCUGAACAAGCCAGGAGCCCGGUUGGCGGUUGCUAGGCAGAGCAGGAGAUUAAGCCUCGUGGAGAUCUUUAUCUGUGUUUAUGUUUUACGUUUUGAUUAAUGAAUGAACUUAAAAGACAUGACAAUGAGGUUGCAUGUGCCUUUUUGUCAUCUUAUCUCUUUAGAGAUCUCAUCUAGCCUUGUUGUUGUUAUGGUGAAAGAAAAUGGUCCUACUAGGAAAUGUGGGAUCUUUUUGACGUAUUGCAUCCAUUGGUAUUGAAUAGGCCUUUUUGCA
This is a long non-coding RNA of Brassica napus (rape), 1939 nucleotides long. RefSeq lists it as uncharacterized. The record is from RefSeq and is a predicted model, not a curated record. The transcript has 2 exons. NCBI's taxonomy places the organism in Eukaryota, Viridiplantae, Streptophyta, Magnoliopsida, Brassicales, Brassicaceae.